RNAcentral lists this ribosomal RNA (1372 nucleotides) under uncultured bacterium. RNAcentral's name for it is "bacterial SSU rRNA". It matches the Rfam family "Bacterial small subunit ribosomal RNA", at positions 28 to 1381 of the family's 1533-position model. The record is from RNAcentral.
GAUGAACGCUGGCGGCGUGCCUAAUACAUGCAAGUCGAGCGAACGGACGAGAAGCUUGCUUCUCUGAUGUUAGCGGCGGACGGGUGAGUAACACGUGGAUAACCUACCUAUAAGACUGGGAUAACUUCGGGAAACCGGAGCUAAUACCGGAUAAUAUUUUGAACCGCAUGGUUCAAAAGUGAAAGACGGUCUUGCUGUCACUUAUAGAUGGAUCCGCGCUGCAUUAGCUAGUUGGUAAGGUAACGGCUUACCAAGGCAACGAUGCAUAGCCGACCUGAGAGGGUGAUCGGCCACACUGGAACUGAGACACGGUCCAGACUCCUACGGGAGGCAGCAGUAGGGAAUCUUCCGCAAUGGGCGAAAGCCUGACGGAGCAACGCCGCGUGAGUGAUGAAGGUCUUCGGAUCGUAAAACUCUGUUAUUAGGGAAGAACAAAUGUGUAAGUAACUAUGCACGUCUUGACGGUACCUAAUCAGAAAGCCACGGCUAACUACGUGCCAGCAGCCGCGGUAAUACGUAGGUGGCAAGCGUUAUCCGGAAUUAUUGGGCGUAAAGCGCGCGUAGGCGGUUUUUUAAGUCUGAUGUGAAAGCCCACGGCUCAACCGUGGAGGGUCAUUGGAAACUGGAAAACUUGAGUGCAGAAGAGGAAAGUGGAAUUCCAUGUGUAGCGGUGAAAUGCGCAGAGAUAUGGAGGAACACCAGUGGCGAAGGCGACUUUCUGGUCUGUAACUGACGCUGAUGUGCGAAAGCGUGGGGAUCAAACAGGAUUAGAUACCCUGGUAGUCCACGCCGUAAACGAUGAGUGCUAAGUGUUAGGGGGUUUCCGCCCCUUAGUGCUGCAGCUAACGCAUUAAGCACUCCGCCUGGGGAGUACGACCGCAAGGUUGAAACUCAGAGGAAUUGACGGGGACCCGCACAAGCGGUGGAGCAUGUGGUUUAAUUCGAAGCAACGCGAAGAACCUUACCAAAUCUUGACAUCCUCUGACCCCUCUAGAGAUAGAGUUUUCCCCUUCGGGGGACAGAGUGACAGGUGGUGCAUGGUUGUCGUCAGCUCGUGUCGUGAGAUGUUGGGUUAAGUCCCGCAACGAGCGCAACCCUUAAGCUUAGUUGCCAUCAUUAAGUUGGGCACUCUAAGUUGACUGCCGGUGACAAACCGGAGGAAGGUGGGGAUGACGUCAAAUCAUCAUGCCCCUUAUGAUUUGGGCUACACACGUGCUACAAUGGACAAUACAAAGGGCAGCGAAACCGCGAGGUCAAGCAAAUCCCAUAAAGUUGUUCUCAGUUCGGAUUGUAGUCUGCAACUCGACUAUAUGAAGCUGGAAUCGCUAGUAAUCGUAGAUCAGCAUGCUACGGUGAAUACGUUCCCGGGUCU